RNAcentral lists this transfer RNA (74 nucleotides) under Pteropus alecto (black flying fox). It matches the Rfam family "tRNA". Rfam says of the family: Transfer RNA (tRNA) molecules are approximately 80 nucleotides in length. The record is from Rfam by way of RNAcentral. Lineage: Eukaryota; Metazoa; Chordata; Mammalia; Chiroptera; Pteropodidae.
GGCUCCAUAGUGCAGAGGUUAGCACGUCUGCUUUAUAUGCAGAAAGUCCGGGGUUCGUGCCCCAGGUGGAGCCA